AACUUCAACUGCUCCUGACCAAGUCAACUGGCCACGCGGCCUUCCAAAAUCUUCAAAAAUCCCCUCCUGCUCUAAGACACGUGGCCUUGGCACUUUAUGUUCUGCUUUCUUUGUGGCCCCUGGGUUUUUCGGCCCCAUCUCACAGUUAUCUGGGGACUUGUCACCAAAUGUGAGUAUCCCAGGGUAGGGAGCACAGAGCCUGCUGCAGCCCCUGAGCCAGUCUUGCACGCAGCAUAACACGCAAUACAAACAGCUCUCCAACAGCACACUCUGGUCUGCUCAGAUGCGUGGCCCCCAUUCUCUGCCUGACCCCAGGCCCAUCUGCUGCUAGCACACAACCCCUCUGCCCCACACCCUCAAAUCCAUCUCUGUCCACUGGGGUGUUUCAAAGGACCACACAGAAAGAGCAACGGAGGCACCAGCGGGGCAUGAGGCUGUUCUCCAGCCCCGGCUGCCUCUUCUUUAGAAGCAGCAGGACCUGCUGCACGAGGCUGUUCUCCAGCCCCGGCUGCCUCUUCUUUAGAAGCAGCAGGACCUGGGGCAGCCUGGAAAAGCAAGUUUCCAGUCAACGAUUAACCAGACGCUCUCCCAGCAAAGACACAAACCUUUUCCCCGGAAGUUAGCAAAGUUCUGUGAAAGCCCCUGCAUGAACUGGGCCCCUGACUCCAGGAAAACAGAGGCAUCUUCCAAUGUCCUUGGAGCCAUGAGACCCCAAAACACCUACCGGGAACGAAGGGGCUUCACCCAGACAGGCCCCGCAAGGGAGGAGGAGGCCGCUCUCCCUCCCACCACCGUUGUCGGGGGUGACCCGAGGUGUUCCAGAUGAGGAGCUGAAUCACUGGGACUUAAGUCAAUAAGUGGCAGCCACCAGGCAGGCCCAGCUGGAGCCAAACCAAGGCCUGGAUUCUCCUCGUGGAUGUCUGGUCUGCCUCUGCCUUUGCUCCUGCUAUCCCCAGGGCCCCAGGUGCCCCUCCCUCCACCUCAUCCUUCUGGACCCAGCAAAUGUCCUCCACCAGGAGGCCUUUCUGGACCUCGUCAUCCUCCUGGAAGGAUCCUCUCCCACCCCGAAGUCCUUUAACUAUUUACUUGUCCCUCUCCUUCGUACUGAGCUUAUGCUGUAUUUGUUUAUGUGCUUAUCUUCUACCGGGCUCAUCUCUGUAACCUUUUUAUUCUUUUAUUCAUUCAUUCCACAAAUACUAAUUGAGCACCUACUAUGUGCCAGACCCCAUGCUAGGACUGGGGACACAAUGAUGAGCAAGACAGACACUGUCCCUGCCACCCUGGAACUCCCAUGUUGGAGAGAAAAAACAAAAACAAAACACGAAGCAAAUAAACAUUAGUAAACACGUCAGGAUAAGCGGCGAUACAGGCUGGAAUAGAAAGGUGUAGGUGAUGUGAGAGGCGAGUGUCCGUGCGGACGGAGGAGCUGGGGGAGGAGACUCUGAGGCCAGAGGUGUGAGCGGAGUGAGUCGGGCACGCUUUCCAGACACAAAAUCGGUGUUUGCUAAACAUGCGUGGAACAAAUGAGUGGCUAACAAGCCAGAAAUUCUGAGCGUGUGCCCCGUGUCGCUCCAGACACAACUUCCUCACCCUCAUCACCCUGUGGGUCACUCCGACUGGCACCCAGACGCGUUUCCCAGCCCACACGCCUGCUACGGGGCCCACCUGUGUCACCCUCACAGAGGCGCUUGCCAGGACUCAAGGGGCUCUCCGCUCAGAACCCCUCAUGGCCUCCCUGACACCACCAGCGGCCCUCGGGCUGGACAGCAAGCGGGUUUUGUCUCGCCUGCAGACUCCAGCCCCGGAGCACCACGCGUGGAAGCACGGCGAGGCCGCCCCUGGGCUCGGUGGGAAAGAGCUCUGAUCGACUGGUGGCGUCUGCCAGGGAAUGGCAGAAGACAGAGAGGCACAUUUGCCACGUAUUUUCCUUGUCACCCAGGGCUCCACAAAUGACCACUCAGGCAAGAAAUCUCCUUCGGGUCUAAUUGCCUGGACGAGCAUUCAGUAUCUGGUGCCCUUUCCUUAUGGGCCACGUGAACCACGUCACUGAUUUUUUUUUCCUGCCUUGACUGCUCAUUAGCUCAGAGCUAAAUGUGUGGUUCAAACACAGCAAAGUAUAUACAGCUCGAUGGCCUGAAUAGGGGGUCUAACUCUCCCCCUGCUUUCAACCUUCUACUAAUCUACAUCUAUGUCUUUUCUGAUCUUAUUUUUAUGAUCUCUAGUUACAUGUCCA
Molecule: long non-coding RNA, 2233 nt
Filed under: Pan troglodytes (chimpanzee)
Lineage: Eukaryota; Metazoa; Chordata; Mammalia; Primates; Hominidae
Description: long non-coding RNA NONPTRT006581
Source: RNAcentral